UUCUUAUCUAGAGCGGUGGAGGGACUGGCCCUAAUACCUCAGUAACAGACUUUUUAAGUACUGUGCUAAUUCCAGAAGCGUAAGGCUUGAAGAUAAGAA
This 99-nucleotide non-coding RNA is filed under the name Bacillus sp. (in: firmicutes). RNAcentral's name for it is "Bacillus sp. SAM-I sequence". It matches the Rfam family "SAM riboswitch aptamer (S box leader)". Rfam says of the family: The SAM riboswitch is found upstream of a number of genes which code for proteins involved in methionine or cysteine biosynthesis in Gram-positive bacteria. Lineage: Bacteria; Bacillati; Bacillota; Bacilli; Caryophanales; Bacillaceae. The record is from RNAcentral. RNAcentral also lists the same sequence under 1 other name.